AGUGAACGCUGGCGGCAGGCCUAACACAUGCAAGUCGAGCGGCAGCGGGUCCCCGCGAGGGGAUGCCGGCGAGCGGCGGACGGGUGAGGAACACAUCGGAAUCUGCCUGGUUGUGGGGGAUAACGUAGGGAAACUUACGCCAAUACCGCAUGAGACCCUGAGUCGACGGACUGGGGGUGAAAGUGAGGGACCUUCGGGCCUCACGCGACCAGAUGAGCCGAUGUCGGAUUAGCUAGUUGGCGGGGUAACGGCCCGCCAAGGCGACGAUCCGUAGCUGGUCUGAGAGGAUGAUCAGCCACACUGGGACUGAGACACGGCCCAGACUCCUACGGGA
Molecule: ribosomal RNA, 334 nt
Filed under: uncultured bacterium
Lineage: Bacteria
Description: bacterial SSU rRNA
Rfam family: Bacterial small subunit ribosomal RNA
Source: RNAcentral